AGAACGAACGCUGGCGGCGUGCCUAACACAUGCAAGUCGAGCGGGAAGUUCCCUUCGGGGGCGAGUACAGCGGCGAACGGGUGAGUAUAACGUAGGUAACCUACCCCCGAGACUGGGAUAACCUGUCGAAAGACGGGCUAAUACCGGAUAAGACCACGAGGGCUGCGGCCCUUGGGGCAAAAGGUGGCCUCUGCUUGCAAGCUACCACUCGAGGAGGGGCCUGCGCGCCAUUAGCUAGUUGGUGAGGUAACGGCUCACCAAGGCGAAGAUGGCU
Molecule: ribosomal RNA, 274 nt
Filed under: uncultured soil bacterium
Lineage: Bacteria
Description: partial 16S ribosomal RNA
Rfam family: Bacterial small subunit ribosomal RNA
Source: RNAcentral